ACUCCAGCUCAGAUAACAUGCAAAUCAAACACAUCCAAUGGGAUUAACAGACAGACUGGCAAUACGACCCGAUGACGACUUAAUUAAUUCUGCUUCUUUUCGACCAUGCAGCUUUAAUCCUUGAAUGGCUGACUUCACAUCCUUUGUCAUCGUUUUAAUUCCGAGUCGCGCCUCGGAGGAUUAUUUUUGUCGACAGUGGGAUGGCGAGAAAGCUGGCCUAAUCAGCACACGGCAGGUCGACGGAAGCCCCGUCGAUAACCACCCCUGUCUUCAUUGAGUUGGAGCAGUUUUGGACAGAUAAGCUCAAACUUCAUGCUGCAGUAACAAUGACUUGAUGGCCAGCUAGGCCUUCCUGUAAGAGAGAGAAACAACUCUUUGAAAGGAAGCAGAUGAUACUGCUACACAAAUCAGCAUAUACAUUCAAUAUCCCAGAAUUCAAAAUGAUGUACACCUUCCUUAUGAACUGCUGUGGAGCAAAAUACCGUUUCGAAGUGUGGCUUAGAAGAAGCAAAGUAAUAAAUAUUCGGUUAAAGCGAGACAAACACGUCACACGAGAGUGAUAAACUGUAUCCAAUGCUGUAUUUGUGUAUAUGUGUGUGUCGGUAAGUGGGCGAUAUACCAGGAUGGGAAUUUUAAUCGCUUGAAAGAACAAUGUCCACCCCAACGGCGGAAGCCGCUUCUAAGGAUUUGACCCACACAAGGAUAAGGAACUCGAAACUGCCUGACAUUAAAGGUGUGAAGGAGGGAAAACCGGCCAAACAGUAGAUGUCAGCUUCCAGCUUUUGUGGCCGUCUUUGACACACAUAUCAAAAUAGGAUUUAUGCGAAUAGAGGCUCGUAAACACAGCAAGAGGAAUGCAAGACUGGUCAAAGCUCUCAAUGGCCACCAAGGACCCAACCCCUCACGGGACCUACGCUCGUGAGUGACAGUAGAGGCUAUCUGCGCAGCUACUACUGCACGUGGUGCGAGCUUAAAGGACCAGGUGGGCUCAGAUUCAAACAAACGAUAGACUUGAAUGAAAAGAACAGGGAGGGAAUGAAAAAACCAGGGAAGCGAUUUCAAAGAGGGAAUGCAGGAAAGGUGGUUUCGAGAGUGGCUGAAAAAAAAAACGUCUUUGUCAUAUGUCGGGGAAAAUAUUCACAAACAACACAACGCUGCAACUGCUGUAAGAAGAACCAAUGCGUUUUGAAGCUUUAAAACGCGGGCCUUCUUGAAAACUUGACUAAUAAAGAAACAACACUAAUGGAGAAAAAGUUUUAUGAAACUAACAAGAGAUGGUGUUUAUACAUAUCUAGAAAGUUACAAAUGAUUUACUAAUCUAAUUUCAGAAAAUGAAAACAUUUCUAAACACACAACUAUAUUUUACAACGCCCAACUGACUUUUAAGAAUAAUAUUAGUUGGGACAAAUACAUACACAAUUGUUAUGUUUAUUUUGAUCACUUUCUUAAAUACUGGGUCCUCCGGUGAAACAGCGGUAAGUCUUCGGAUUUACAACGCUAAAAACAGGGGUUCGAUUCCCCUCGGUAGACACAGCAAAUAGCCUGAUGUGACUUUCCUAAACAAAACAUAAAUACAUACGUAAAUACUGCAACAGAUAUCUGCUACAGUUUGUUCACAUGUCUGUCCUUCUACCUGAAUACAUUGUACAGGGUGUCCCAGAAGUCUAGACCCAUAGAGAAAAUACACAGUGUAUUCUUACUUUAUUUGUUAUUUAAAUUGCAUGCCAUUAACAGCCAUACACAUAUCAAUUCUUAGUAUACUGUGCCAUCAGGGUAUUUUCGUUCCUGAAAUAUGUAUAACUGACAUUAGAAAUAUGUUCGUUUAACUUUAAGUAUAUGAUGUCUGUAUUCUCUAUGGGUCCAGACUCUUGGAACACCCUGUAGUUUCAUCAACUGUCGUAAUGCACGCGAAAAACGUCAUGAAGGUUUGUCGUGUUCUUCUGAUUUUUUGAUCAACAUAACAAAAAAAUCAGUUUCACAUCGAUCUUUUGAAGGACGAGAGAAACGUUAUGCAUUACUAUCAAUAUUUACUUUUAAAUUAUGUUCAGCAAAUAACCACUUACUUCCUCAGUACAAGUGUGUGAACGAAACUUACAGCUGAUGCACAUACGCACGUGUAACACACAAAUAGCUAAUAGUGUACAUAUCAUACUGUGAAAAAUAGUCAAAGCUCAUGAAACUUUAAGCAUACAUGACUUCUUCUGAACGUUGUAUGCUGUUUUGGUUAUUACUUCUGGUGUAUUUAUGCUUGUUUAGAGUUAAACUUAUAAUGUUAUAAGCCCUCGUGCCUGCUCUCACAAUAAUUUGCUAAACACCGAUGUUCUAGAUAAUAAACUUUCUGUCUGAAUGUCAUUGAAAUACUUCGUUUUUUGGUUGUUUUUUUUUUUUUACUUUUUGUCACUGAAAAUAAAAACUUUAUUACUCGUAUUGCAAUGGUAAUAAAUACAAUACGGUGACAAUGGUACUAAAUGCAAUAAUAACUAGAAGUGAAUUUAGCCUUAAAAUCGAAAGAGUGGUGAUAAAACAUUGUGUGUGUACGUGGUUGAAAGACCUACUAACCAAUGUUCAUAUUUGUUGUUACUAGAUUAAAUAUGAAAUACAAGUAGCAGAAGUUUAAACUGGUGUUUUCACGUGAUCUUUCGAAACAAACUGUAGUUUGGUCAUUAAAUGUUGAGUGUACCACAAAGUCUCUUAAAUCCUCUUCAAGAGUUCCCUCUUCUGGAUUGCACAUUGUGGACUAAGUCACGUUCUAUUCCGUUUCAUUUCCGUGUACAUAGUACAGGGGCUGAAGGGAGACCCUCCCCGCCAAUACUUUUUUUGUAUCUAUUGAUGAAACCAAACAGCUUAGCUAGUAACCACAGCAACGCCACUACCGUCAAGGGCCUCCUAGUUCAACUAGAAGAUGGUAGAAUCUUCAGCAGCUCGAUCCACGAAACAAAGUUACUUCACUCUGAAAUACACAUGUUGGGUUUGUAAUCAGCAUUUAUUAAAACCCUAAAGACAUUUUAGU
Long non-coding RNA from Limulus polyphemus (Atlantic horseshoe crab), 3010 nucleotides. RefSeq lists it as uncharacterized. The record is from RefSeq and is a predicted model, not a curated record. The transcript is spliced from 3 exons. Lineage: Eukaryota; Metazoa; Arthropoda; Merostomata; Xiphosura; Limulidae.